Molecule: long non-coding RNA, 1365 nt
Organism: Chlorocebus sabaeus (green monkey)
Lineage: Eukaryota; Metazoa; Chordata; Mammalia; Primates; Cercopithecidae
Source: RefSeq, a predicted model, not a curated record
GGGCUGAAUCCAAAAAAGGGAAGAUUGACAUCCAGAGUGUUUGGAAAGUGGGACCAUAAGAGAAUAGUGUGUGUGUGUGUAUGUGUGUGCAUACGUGUGUGUCGGAGGCUGUGUGGCUUCUCCUAACUUUACCAUGCAGAAGUCAAGGAAACGGUUACAGAGGCAAAAUGUGGGAGUAGCUAAUGGCAAUGGCCCAGAGAGAUGAAAAAAUGUGGGAAAACCAAAACUUGGAGGUAGGAACUUUCCGCUUCUUUUGGAGUACACAGAGGUGACUUAAGUAGGAAAAGAACGCAUAGCCAGUAACUCUCCCAACAGAAUUGGACUGGUGCCUGGGGUGAUUCAGAAUGUCCAGUUAAGCUGAGAAAUACUGAUUCCACGGAUCCCCUUCAUUCACUCAGAGCAGACAGAAGACCAUGAGACUUCCUACCCACAGUGAGCUAAAAGGACACUUCUGUCAGAGUGGGGAAAUAAAAGGGCUUUAUGGGAAAGAAGAUAAGAACAGAUGAGUCAGAGGUUUCUGUUUAAUGGUGGUAGAGCCAAGCAGACAGGCUAGUGGCCAUAUUGCUGCUGCCUCAUGUGGGAACCAGCAGGCUGGAGGGUUAUCAGUCCUCACGUGGGACCCUCCCACCAUGGCAGCUGAGCCCACCCAAGCUGGGGGAUCCUGAAGAGACCUUCACCUGGGUGCCACGUGGAAGAUUGGUCCCUACCAUUUUGGCUGCUGUGGAUGGUGAUUUAUGAGAGCAGUCCUAUCAGAAGAAGAGGUGGGAGAGAAGCAGGAUGGAACAGAGGAAGAAAACUAAGCAAGUGUGUGGAUACUGUCUUCAGCUUGGACCCACAGGGAGCACUGGAGCAUAAAUUAUACCACAGACUUUGUUUCCGUUUGAGGCUGGUGGGAUGGCCCUUUGUACCCCAGAGAGGGUGCAGAACUUCCUGAAGGAGUUGACUCCAUUUGGUUGAGAACAUGUAAUUAUUUAGAGAAGGAGCAGCUAACUCUCACAGCGACUGAGGCAGGGUGCACUGACCAGGGCAGAGCACCAACGGUGAACCAAUGCCACCCAGACCUCAUGGGGGAAGGGUGGGGAUAACCUGGGGCCAGAUCAGAACUGGGUGGAGGUGGGACACAGCAGGACGGGAGGAGCAGAACCGAGAGGGUCUGUGUUUCCUGUGUACCCUGGAAGCACAAGUCUGGGUUCUCUGAGCCUCAGGCAGCACUGACCUUUCUUCCCCAUCUGGACAUGAGAAGGACAGGCCAAGCCCUUUCCUCAGCACUUUUUUUUUUUUUCUUUUUGAGUUGGAGUCUUGCUCUGUCACCCAGGCUGGAGUGCAGUGGUGUGAUCUCGGCUUGCUGCAACCUCUGCCCCCUGG